This 148-nucleotide signal recognition particle RNA is filed under the name Pan troglodytes (chimpanzee). RNAcentral describes it as "Metazoan signal recognition particle RNA". It matches the Rfam family "Metazoan signal recognition particle RNA". From Rfam's summary of the family: The signal recognition particle (SRP) is a universally conserved ribonucleoprotein. It is involved in the co-translational targeting of proteins to membranes. The eukaryotic SRP consists of a 300-nucleotide 7S RNA and six proteins: SRPs 72, 68, 54, 19, 14, and 9. The record is from Rfam by way of RNAcentral. Lineage: Eukaryota; Metazoa; Chordata; Mammalia; Primates; Hominidae.
GCCGGGCGUGGUGGCGGGCGCCUGUAAUCCCAGCUACUCAGGAGGCUGAGACAGGAGAAUUGCUUGAACCCAGGAGGUGGAGGUUGCAGUGAGCCGAGAUCAUGCCACUGCACUCCAGCCUGGGCGACAGAGCAAGACUCUGUCUCAA